GCAUAUCAUAAGCGGGAGGAAAAGAAACUAACCAAGGAUUCCCUAGUAACUGCGAGUGAAGCGGGAAAAGCUCAAAUUUAAAAUCUGGCAGUCUUUGGCUGUCCGAGUUGUAAUCUAGAGAAGUAUUAUCCGCGCUGGACCGUGUACAAGUCUCCUGGAAUGGAGCGUCAUAGAGGGUGAGAAUCCCGUCUUUGACACGGACUGCCAGGGCUUUGUGAUAUGCUCUCAAAGAGUCGAGUUGUUUGGGAAUGCAGCUCAAAAUGGGUGGUAAAUUCCAUCUAAAGCUAAAUAUUGGCGAGAGACCGAUAGCGAACAAGUACCGUGAGGGAAAGAUGAAAAGAACUUUGGAAAGAGAGUUAAACAGUACGUGAAAUUGCUGAAAGGGAAACGCUUGAAGUCAGUCGCGUUGGCCAGGGAUCAACCUUGCUUUUUUGCUUGGCUUACUUUCUGGUCGAUGGGUCAGCAUCAAUUUUGACCGGUGGAAAAAGUUCAAAGGAAUGUGGCAUCUUCGGAUGUGUUAUAGCCUUUGUUCACAUACAUUGGUUGGGAUUGAGGAACUCAGCACGCCGCAAGGCCGGGUUUUUAACCACGUACGUGCUUAGGAUGCUGGCAUAAUGGCUUUAAUCGACCCGUCUUGAAACACGGACCAAGGAGUCUAACAUGCCUGCGAGUAUUUGGGUGAAAAACCCGAGUGCGUAAUGAAAGUGAAAGUUGAGAUCCCUGUCGUGGGGAGCAUUGACGCCCGGAUCUGACCUUUUGUGACGAUUCUGCGGUAGAGCAUGUAUGUUGGGACCCGAAAGAUGGUGAACUAUGCCUGAAUAGGGUGAAGCCAGAGGAAACUCUGGUGGAGGCUCGUAGCGAUUCUGACGUGCAAAUCGAUCGUCAAAUUUGGGUAUA
Molecule: ribosomal RNA, 897 nt
Filed under: Laccaria bicolor
Lineage: Eukaryota; Fungi; Basidiomycota; Agaricomycetes; Agaricales; Hydnangiaceae
Description: LSU rRNA
Rfam family: Eukaryotic large subunit ribosomal RNA
Source: RNAcentral